CAAAGUACACUUCAGGCACUAAAACUAUGUGGCCUUCAGUAGUUGAACCUACUUCUGACUACAAGCUGAAUCCCACAGCUUCUUCAGACUCAACCUCACAUGGUCUCUUCCACAGAAUCCUUCCUGAUUCUAUGAAAACAAAGGGAGACUCAGGACCACACAUAAUACCAAUUUAUCCAAAUAUCACCGACACUAAUUUACUGAAGAAUUCAUCUGGCGUACAUGCAAGCAAACAAAUUUCCUGAUGUUUCUAAAGGAAACACAGCUCAUAGGAAUAGGUAAGUAUCAGCUAUUCCCAUCAUGGGUUGGAUGAGCUACUCCAAUCCCAGGACCCAGGGUUGGUUCCCAGAACCCACAUGGCUGCUGACCACCACCUGCAACUCCAGUUCCAGAGGAUCCAACACAUCACCUUAAUUCCAAACCUGGAGGUUUGAAGGUUUCUGUCCCUGAGACAUCGAACCACCCACACAAAUUCAGAAAUACCAAGAAAUGGAGAUCAAGAUGCCAAGCCCUACCUCUGGAAAAUCUCCUGCAGCGUUUCCCGCGUGAAGGCGUUGCUGUCCUGGAAGACGUUGUUGAGGGCGUGAAGAGCACAGAGCUCCCUGCGCUGCUUCUCAUGGUAGAUUUGUGGGGGUGCUGCCUGGGGGAGCUCCAAGGAUUCCGAUUUGGCCUUGUCUCCUUUCCAUGGCACGCAACUCAUGUUUUUCGAUUCAGGUUCCAGGCAGAGCCGAUAAACGCCCCGCUCCUUUCCUCCUGAGGAAAGUCUAGGUUUCUCUGUCUUCAGAUUCCUGAGGUUCACCUAUUCUCUGGUGUCCAUGAUUUAUGCUUUGUCACUGAAGGUUGAAAUCAAAAGGGACCAAAAAACAAAAAAAACAAAAAAAAAACUA
Grammomys surdaster is the source of this 887-nucleotide long non-coding RNA. RefSeq lists it as uncharacterized. The record is from RefSeq and is a predicted model, not a curated record. Lineage: Eukaryota; Metazoa; Chordata; Mammalia; Rodentia; Muridae. The transcript has 3 exons.